UCUAAUAUGGCAGAAAUAAUGCAUUAAGUUUAAACCUUAAUAAUAAAGAUUUAUCUUUUUUUAGAA
This 66-nucleotide transfer RNA is filed under the name Paduniella communis. RNAcentral describes it as "tRNA-Leu". The record is from RNAcentral. Lineage: Eukaryota; Metazoa; Arthropoda; Insecta; Trichoptera; Psychomyiidae.